UGAGUCUGCGUUUCAUUAGCUAGUUGGUGAGGUAAUGGCUCACCAAGGCAACGAUCAGUAGCAGGUUUGAGAGGAUGACCUGCCACACUGGGACUGGAACACGGCCCAGACUCCUACGGGAGGCAGCAGUGGGGAAUAUUGCGCAAUGGGCGAAAGCCUGACGCAGCGACGCCGCGUGGAGGAUGAAGGCCUUCGGGUCGUAAACUCCUGUCAAGAGGGAAGAACCGUAUGCGGAAUAAUACGCCGCAUGCCUGACGGUACCUCUAGAGGAAGCACCGGCUAACUCCGUGCCAGCAGCCGCGGUAAUACGGAGGGUGCAAGCGUUAAUCGGAAUCACUGGGCGUAAAGCGCGCGUAGGCGGCUUGGUAAGUCAGGUGUGAAAGCCCCCGGCCCAACCGGGGAAUUGCAUUGAUACUGCUAGGCUAGAGUUCAGGAGAGGGUGGCGGAAUUCCAGGUGUAGGAGUGAAAUCCGUAGAUAUCUGGAGGAACACCGGUGGCGAAGGCGGCCACCUGGACUGACACUGACGCUGAAGUGCGAAAGCGUGGGUAGCAAACAGGAUUAGAUACCCUGGUAGUCACGCCGUAAACGAUGGACACUAGGUGCCGG
Molecule: ribosomal RNA, 607 nt
Filed under: uncultured bacterium
Lineage: Bacteria
Description: bacterial SSU rRNA
Rfam family: Bacterial small subunit ribosomal RNA
Source: RNAcentral